GAUGAACGCUGGCGGCGUGCCUAAUACAUGCAAGUCGAGCGAACAGAUGAGGAGCUUGCUCCUCUGACGUUAGCGGCGGACGGGUGAGUAACACGUGGAUAACCUACCUAUAAGACUGGGAUAACUACGGGAAACCGGAGCUAAUACCGGAUAAUAUAUUGAACCGCAUGGUUCAAUAGUGAAAGACGGUUUUGCUGUCACUUAUAGAUGGAUCCGCGCCGCAUUAGCUAGUUGGUAAGGUAACGGCUUACCAAGGCAACGAUGCGUAGCCGACCUGAGAGGGGGAUCGGCCACACUGGAACUGAGACACGGUCCAGACUCCUACGGGAGGCAGCAGUAGGGAAUCUUCCGCAAAGGGCGAAAGCCUGACGGAGCAACGCCGCGUGAGUGAUGAAGGUCUUCGGAUCGUAAAACUCUGUUAUUAGGGAAGAACAAAUGUGUAAGUAACUAUGCACGUCUUGACGGUACCUAAUCAGAAAGCCACGGCUAACUACGUG
RNAcentral lists this ribosomal RNA (497 nucleotides) under uncultured bacterium. RNAcentral's name for it is "partial 16S ribosomal RNA". It matches the Rfam family "Bacterial small subunit ribosomal RNA", at positions 28 to 507 of the family's 1533-position model. The record is from RNAcentral.